ACCUGGACUAAGCCCAGGAAUAUGGUGCCUCAGAGCUGGAUGCUUAACCAAGACAAACUCUCCUUCUCUCCAAUACUGUGCCAACUCAUGAUUCUCAUGACCUGUGCUUGAAGAAAUCCGGACUAGGAGUCAGAGGACCUCUGACUUUGCCAAUCAUGGCUAA
Molecule: non-coding RNA, 163 nt
Organism: Equus caballus (horse)
Lineage: Eukaryota; Metazoa; Chordata; Mammalia; Perissodactyla; Equidae
Source: Rfam